This 334-nucleotide ribosomal RNA is filed under the name uncultured Levilinea sp. RNAcentral describes it as "bacterial SSU rRNA". It matches the Rfam family "Bacterial small subunit ribosomal RNA", at positions 1034 to 1382 of the family's 1533-position model. Lineage: Bacteria; Bacillati; Chloroflexota; Anaerolineae; Anaerolineales; Anaerolineaceae. The record is from RNAcentral.
ACAGGUGCUGCAUGGCUGUCGUCAGCUCGUGUCGUGAGAUGUUCGGUUAAGUCCGCUAACGAGCGCAACCCUUUGCUGUGUGUUACAUGUGUCACACGGGACUGCCGGUCUUAAACCGGAGGAAGUGGGGAUGACGUCAAGUCAGCAUGGCCUUUAUGUCCUGGGCUACACACACGCUACAAUGGCCGGUACAAUAGGUUGCGAAGCCGCGAGGCGGAGCCAAUCCUCAAAGCCGGCCUCAGUUCAGAUUGCAGGCUGCAACCCGCCUGCAUGAAGAUGGAGUUGCUAGUAACCGCAGGUCAGCUAUACUGCGGUGAAUACGUUCCUCGGGCUU